CGCGGCCUAUCAGCUUGUUGGUGAGGUAAUGGCUUACCAAGGCGACGAUGGGUAGCUGGUCUGAGAGGAUGGUCAGCCACAUUGGGACUGAGACACUGCCCAAACUCCUACGGGAGGCUGCAGUCGAGAAUAUUUCGCAAUGGGGGGAACCCUGACGAUGCGACGCCGCGUGGGGGAUGAAGGCCUUCGGGUCGUAAACCUCUGUGUUACGGGAUGAAUUGAGCGUUGCUGAUAACGCAGCGUUUUUGACGUUACCGUAGUAGAAAGCCCCAGCUAACUACGUGCCAGCAGCUGCGGUAAUACGUAGGGGGCAAGCGUUGUCCGGAAUCACUGGGCGUAAAGCGCGCGCAGGCGGUGGAGUAAGUCAGACGUGAAAGGGUUCGGCUCAACCGAACCACUGCGUUUGAUACUGCCUCACUUGAGUCUAGAAGAGGAAAGUGGAAUGUAUGGUGUAGCGGUGGAAUGCUUAGAUAUCAUAUAGAACACCUGUGGCGAAGGCGGCUUUCUGGUCUAAGACUGACGCUCAUGCGCGAAAGUUUGGGGAGCAACCGGGAUUAGAUACCCCGCUAGUCCUUACUGUAAACGAUGGGUACUAAGUGUAGGGGGGUGUUGAUUCCCUCUGUGCUGUAGCUAACGCAUUAAGUACCCCGCCUGGGGAGUACGG
RNAcentral lists this ribosomal RNA (664 nucleotides) under uncultured Actinomycetes bacterium. RNAcentral's name for it is "bacterial SSU rRNA". It matches the Rfam family "Bacterial small subunit ribosomal RNA", at positions 232 to 885 of the family's 1533-position model. The record is from RNAcentral. Lineage: Bacteria; Bacillati; Actinomycetota; Actinomycetes.